GCGGCGCGCCUAACACAUGCAAGUCGAGCGGUAGCACAGAGAGCUUGCUCUCGGGUGACGAGCGGCGGACGGGUGAGUAAUGUCUGGGAAACUGCCUGAUGGAGGGGGAUAACUACUGGAAACGGUAGCUAAUACCGCAUAACGUCGCAAGACCAAAGUGGGGGACCUUCGGGCCUCAUGCCAUCAGAUGUGCCCAGAUGGGGUUAGCUAGUAGGUGGGGUAACGGCUCACCUAGGCGACGAUCCCUAGCUGGUCUGAGAGGAUGACCAGCCACACUGGAACUGAGACACGGUCCAGACUCCUACGGGAGGCAGCAGUGGGGAAUAUUGCACAAUGGGCGCAAGCCUGAUGCAGCCAUGCCGCGUGUGUGAAGAAGGCCUUCGGGUUGUAAAGCACUUUCAGCGGGGAGGAAGGCGUUAAGGUUAAUAACCUUGGCGAUUGACGUUACCCGCAGAAGAAGCACCGGCUAACUCCGUGCCAGCAGCCGCGGUAAUACGGAGGGUGCAAGCGUUAAUCGGAAUUACUGGGCGUAAAGCGCACGCAGGCGGUCUGUCAAGUCGGAUGUGAAAUCCCCGGGCUCAACCUGGGAACUGCAUUCGAAACUGGCAGGCUAGAGUCUUGUAGAGGGGGGUAGAAUUCCAGGUGUAGCGGUGAAAUGCGUAGAGAUCUGGAGGAAUACCGGUGGCGAAGGCGGCCCCCUGGACAAAGACUGACGCUCAGGUGCGAAAGCGUGGGGAGCAAACAGGAUUAGAUACCCUGGUAGUCCACGCCGUAAACGAUGUCGAUUUGGAGGUUGUGCCCUUGAGGCGUGGCUUCCGGAGCUAACGCGUUAAAUCGACCGCCUGGGGAGUACGGCCGCAAGGUUAAAACUCAAAUGAAUUGACGGGGGCCCGCACAAGCGGUGGAGCAUGUGGUUUAAUUCGAUGCAACGCGAAGAACCUUACCUGGUCUUGACAUCCACAGAACUUUCCAGAGAUGGAUUGGUGCCUUCGGGAACUGUGAGACAGGUGCUGCAUGGCUGUCGUCAGCUCGUGUUGUGAAAUGUUGGGUUAAGUCCCGCAACGAGCGCAACCCUUAUCCUUUGUUGCCAGCGGUUCGGCCGGGAACUCAAAGGAGACUGCCAGUGAUAAACUGGAGGAAGGUGGGGAUGACGUCAAGUCAUCAUGGCCCUUACGACCAGGGCUACACACGUGCUACAAUGGCAUAUACAAAGAGAAGCGACCUCGCGAGAGCAAGCGGACCUCAUAAAGUAUGUCGUAGUCCGGAUUGGAGUCUGCAACUCGACUCCAUGAAGUCGGAAUCGCUAGUAAUCGUAGAUCAGAAUGCUACGGUGAAUACGUUCCCGGGCCUUGUACACACCGCCCGUCACACCAUGGGAGUGGGUUGCAAAAGAAGUAGGUAGCUUAACCUUCGGGAGGGCGCUUACCACUUUGUGAUUCAUGACUGGGGUGAAGUCAUAAC
RNAcentral lists this ribosomal RNA (1461 nucleotides) under uncultured organism. RNAcentral's name for it is "SSU rRNA". It matches the Rfam family "Bacterial small subunit ribosomal RNA". The record is from RNAcentral.